UCCGGUUUGACACCGGCAGUCUCGCUAGAGUACUCGGCAUAACCCGUGAGCAACUAACGACAGGGGUUGCGCUCGUUAAGGGACUUAACCCGACACUUCACAGCACGAGCUGACGACAGCCAUGCAGCACCUGUGCUUGUUCCACCCUUGCGGGCGUGGCUCCUGUUUCCAAGAGUUAAUCCAAGCAUGUCAAGCCCAGGUAAGGUUCUUCGCGUUGCCUCGAAUUAAGCAACAUGCUCCACCGCUUGUGUGAGCCCCCGUCAAUUCCUUUGAGUUUUAGCCUUGCGACCGUACUCCCCAGGCGGCGCGCUUAGUGCUUUUGCUUCGACCGAGCCGGCGUCAGAGCCACCUCGAUCUAGCGCGCAUCGUUUAAGGCGUGGACUAC
RNAcentral lists this unclassified non-coding RNA (385 nucleotides) under uncultured Phycisphaeraceae bacterium. Its description in RNAcentral is "contains 16S-23S intergenic spacer region". Lineage: Bacteria; Pseudomonadati; Planctomycetota; Phycisphaerae; Phycisphaerales; Phycisphaeraceae. The record is from RNAcentral.